Molecule: long non-coding RNA, 665 nt
Organism: Leguminivora glycinivorella
Lineage: Eukaryota; Metazoa; Arthropoda; Insecta; Lepidoptera; Tortricidae
Exons: 2
Source: RefSeq, a predicted model, not a curated record
UUCUGUUAUUUGUGAUGUAGGUCUUACAGACGCCAUCAUGUGCUAUAUAGUCUAUCCUUAAGAGGAUUGUUCUGCUUCUGUUAUUUGUGAUGAAGGUCUUCAGAGAUGCCAUCAUGUGUUAUAUAGUCCUUAAGAGGUAUAUCCUUAAGAGGUUAGCUUGAGACCUUGUUUGUCAAAAGCAUGUUUUAUGACCUUAAAGAGUAAUGAUCUCAAGGUUACCUUGAAAGGGUCACUUACAUGCAUACUUUCCAGAGGUCGCUGGUGAAAUUACGGUUUCCAAUAGAGCGGAGAGAGCAACUGUUCGGAAUGCCUAGCUGAACGAAUGCAUGCUACAGGCUGCGCGACAACCUUGUCAUGAAGGGCCAACUUCUGCGGUCGUUGCGCUGACAGCCACGAAAGAAGCCGUAUCACCGUGGCUUUCGUAUGAAGAUUUGAUAUGAGCUUCUUAACAAGAGCUUGUGCUGUGUUGGAAGGUGGCUAUGAUCACGCAUAGGGUGUGUCAUGUUAACCUCUCACGAGUUGUACGCCUUCUUGCGCAUGUGGGGAGCUUCACAGCCUACAGUGACGAAGCCAACUGUGAGUUUGUUCCAUGUAUUUGCUAUUUAAACGACGCCAAUCAUCAUUAUUAUAUUGAGCGGUUGGUUAGUUUGGAAUGCACCGCUCAC